Molecule: ribosomal RNA, 404 nt
Filed under: Actinomycetes bacterium
Lineage: Bacteria; Bacillati; Actinomycetota; Actinomycetes
Description: Actinobacteria bacterium partial 16S ribosomal RNA
Rfam family: Bacterial small subunit ribosomal RNA
Source: RNAcentral
UGGGGAAUAUUGGACAAUGGGCGCAAGCCUGAUCCAGCCAUGCCGCGUGAGUGAUGAAGGCCCUAGGGUUGUAAAGCUCUUUCACCGGUGAAGAUAAUGACGGUAACCGGAGAAGAAGCCCCGGCUAACUUCGUGCCAGCAGCCGCGGUAAUACGAAGGGGGCUAGCGUUGUUCGGAUUUACUGGGCGUAAAGCGCACGUAGGCGGACUUUUAAGUCAGGGGUGAAAUCCCGGGGCUCAACCCCGGAACUGCCUUUGAUACUGGAAGUCUUGAGUAUGGUAGAGGUGAGUGGAAUUCCGAGUGUAGAGGUGAAGUUCAUAGAUAGUCGGAGGAACACCAGUGGCGAAGGCGGCUCACUGGACCAUUACUGACGAUGAGGUGCGAAAGCGUGGGGAGCAAACAGG